AUACCCCUACAACAACAAAGAGUGUUGACAUUGUGAGUUAUAACGUCAUCAUACACAGAUUCCCCUAUACAGCUGGUCAGUCAUAUACCGUGAUUCAAUCGUUCAGCAUCCAGUGGUGUUAAUGGUUCUCCAAGUUCAACAUUUGAAAAUGGCGAUUCAGAACUAAAGGGAAAAAUGUGAACUGAAAAAAGGAAUUGAAGAGCCUUUGAAAAUUGAGAGCAUAAAGUAUUAUAUUGGUAUGUGAAGCGUCAAGCUUAUCUGAAGUGAUGUUAUGGCUUAAACUGUGCGACAUGGGAUUUGGAGAGAUAAAGGAUGUCCAAGAAAAUGCUAUGCUAAACAUUGGCUACCGUUCUCCAGAUAUAGACAUCUAUCUAUAGAAAGUAUAUGACAUUAUGCCUUUUUCAUUUAUAAUUUACACCAACUCUAAGCCUGUUUUAUACGCCUUUUACUUGUUACCUUUGAAAUUGUAACUUUCUCAUAAGGCUCAUAAUCAUUAAAAUUGAACGGACGGGAAUACGGAAA
Long non-coding RNA from Xenia sp. Carnegie-2017, 522 nucleotides. RefSeq lists it as uncharacterized. The transcript has 3 exons. The record is from RefSeq and is a predicted model, not a curated record. NCBI's taxonomy places the organism in Eukaryota, Metazoa, Cnidaria, Anthozoa, Malacalcyonacea, Xeniidae.